RNAcentral lists this ribosomal RNA (469 nucleotides) under Bacillus subtilis. Its description in RNAcentral is "bacterial SSU rRNA". It matches the Rfam family "Bacterial small subunit ribosomal RNA", at positions 193 to 654 of the family's 1533-position model. Lineage: Bacteria; Bacillati; Bacillota; Bacilli; Caryophanales; Bacillaceae. The record is from RNAcentral.
UUCGACAUAAAAAGGUGGCUUCGGCUACCACCUAUACAGUGGACCCGCGGCGACUUAGCUAGUUGGUGAGGUAACGGCUCACCAAGGCGACGAAUGCGUAGCCGACCUGAGAGGGUGAUCGGCCACACUGGGACUGAGACACGGCCCAGACUCCUACGGGAGGCAGCAGUAGGGAAUCUUCCGCAAUGGACGAAAGUCUGACGGAGCAACGCCGCGUGAGUGAUGAAGGUUUUCGGAUCGUAAAGCUCUGUUGUUAGGGAAGAACAAGUGCCGUUCAAAUAGGGCGGCACCUUGACGGUACCUAACCAGAAAGCCACGGCUAACUACGUGCCAGCAGCCGCGGUAAUACGUAGGUGGCAAGCGUUGUCCGGAAUUAUUGGGCGUAAAGGGCUCGCAGGCGGUUUCUUAAGUCUGAUGUGAAAGCCCCGGCUCAACGGGGAGGUCAUGGAACUGGGACUGAGUGCAAGAG